This 331-nucleotide ribosomal RNA is filed under the name uncultured eukaryote. RNAcentral's name for it is "partial 18S ribosomal RNA". It matches the Rfam family "Eukaryotic small subunit ribosomal RNA", at positions 1470 to 1796 of the family's 1831-position model. The record is from RNAcentral.
CCCUUAGAUGUUCUGGGCCGCACGCGCGCUACACUGUUCGACGCAGCGAGUCUUAACCUUGACCGAAAGGUUUGGGUAAUCUUCAGCAAAGUCGAACGUGAUGGGGAUCGAUCAUUGCAAUUAUUGAUCGUGAACGAGGUAUUCCUAGUAAGUGCAAGUCAUCAGCUUGCGCUGAUUACGUCCCUGCCCUUUGUACACACCGCCCGUCGCUACUACCGAUUGAAUGGUUUAGUGAGAUCUCUGGAUUGACGCUGGCUAGGGGGCGACCCUUGGCCAGACUGUUGAGAAACUGCUCAAACUUGAUCAUUUAGAGGAAGUAAAAGUCGUAACA